Molecule: ribosomal RNA, 496 nt
Filed under: uncultured bacterium
Lineage: Bacteria
Description: partial 16S ribosomal RNA
Rfam family: Bacterial small subunit ribosomal RNA
Source: RNAcentral
GAUGAACGCUAGCGGCAGGCUUAACACAUGCAAGUCGAGGGGUAGAGGUCGCUUGCAACCUUGAGACCGGCGCACGGGUGCGUAACGCGUAUGCAACCUACCUUUUACAGAGGGAUAGACCAGAGAAAUAUGGAUUCACACAUCAUAGUAUAUCACCUUCGCAUGUUGGUUAUAUUAAAGAUCCAACUGUAAAAGAUUGGCAUGCGUCCUAUUAGCUAGAUGGUAAGGUAACGGCUUACCAUGGCAACGAUAGGUAGUGGUCCUGAGAGGGGGAUCCCCCACACUGGUACUGAGACACGGACCAGACUCCUACGGGAGGCAGCAGUGAGGAAUAUUGGACAAUGGGCGCAAGCCUGAUCCAGCCAUGCUGCGUGCAGGAAGAAGCAUCUAUGGUGUGUAAACUGCUUUUGUACAGGAAGAAACACCCCGACGUGUCGGGGCUUGACGGUACUGUAAGAAUAAGGAUCGGCUAACUCCGUGCCAGCAGCCGCAGUAA